UGACUCCUGGCUCAGAACGAACGGUGGCGGCGUGGAUAAGACAUGCAAGUCGAACGGGACUUUCAGUGUAGCAAUACAUUGAAAGUUCAGUGGCGUAAGGGUGCGUAACACGUGGGAAAUCUGCCGAGAAGUGGGGGAUAGCUCGCCGAAAGGCGAAUUAAUACCGCAUGUGGUCAGUGAGGACAUCCUCGCGAAACCAAAGCCGGGGCAACCUGGCGCUUCUUGAUGAUCCCGCGGCCUAUCAGCUAGUUGGCGGGGUAAAAGCCCACCAAGGCUAUGACGGGUAGCUGGUCUGAGAGGACGACCAGCCACACUGGAACUGAGACACGGUCCAGACACCUACGGGUGGCAGCAGUCGAGAAUUUUUCUCAAUGGGGGAAACCCUGAAGGAGCGACGCCGCGUGAAGGAUGAAGGUCUUCGGAUUGUAAACUUCUGUCAUUAGGGAACAAAUCUUCCAGUCAACUGCUGGAAGUCUGAUAGUACCUGAAGAGGAAGAGACGGCUAACUCUGUGCCAGCAGCCGCGGUAAUACAGAGGUCUCAACCGUUGUUCGGAUUCAUUGGGCGUAAAGGGUGCGUAGGCGGCGGAGUAAGUCAGGUGUGAAAUCUCGGGGCUCAACCCCGAAACUGCACUUGAUACUGCUUCGCUAGAGUAUUGGAGAGGAGAUUGGAAUUUACGGUGUAGCAGUGAAAUGCGUA
This 698-nucleotide ribosomal RNA is filed under the name uncultured bacterium. RNAcentral's name for it is "bacterial SSU rRNA". It matches the Rfam family "Bacterial small subunit ribosomal RNA", at positions 13 to 692 of the family's 1533-position model. The record is from RNAcentral.